UGGGAAUACAAAAUUUGAGACUGGUCUCUACAAAGACGCAGUUGAUAUUUAUUCUGCUGGCAUAGAUAUGAGUAGAGGUACAACUGUCUUUAACGCUUUAUUGCUUACUAACCGUGCUGCAGCUUAUAUCAAGCUGAACCAGCUUGAUGACGCUUUGAAAGAUGCAAAUGAAUAUAUAUCGCGAUUCCCAGAUUGCUGGAAGGGGUAUGCUAGAAAGGCUUUGGCACUUGACGGGAAAGUCAGUGCUGAAAUAGCUGCAGCACUAGCUUAUUAUUAUUUUUCCCUAAAAGAUGAUAGAUGUAUUUUUUCAGAAUAUAAUCCAUUCAACGGAGCGUUUCCAGGUUUAAGGGACCGUAUUUUCAUUUGUCAUACUGUAGAUCAGUUAAAGGUAGCAUUGGUAUCGCCCAUUGCACAAGACUGUCUGCGGGUUAUAAUUUUGGGAUCAAAAGAGUAUUUAGUGCCUUUCGUCUCCAUACGUGCGACGAACUGCAUCAUAGUUGGUGCAAAAUCAGAUGCUUCUGUCACUUUAAACCUCGAAGGUAACGCAUUGUUUCACUUGUCUGAAAAAUGUAUGCUUGCAAAUCUUUCUUUUGCUAUUGACAAAGGUCAAAUCAUAGGUUUGCGUGGCUCUUUGGUUAAGAUCCUUAACUGUAAUUUUAUUUCCAAUAGUGAUGAAUUGCCAGCUGUUGGAUCUGCCGGCGUGUUUAACGCAGAGCGAUGUAACUUUACUAACUGCAAAGCCGGUGGGCUGCUGUGUGGGGGGCCUGGUAAUAUGGUUGUUGAUGACUGCACAUUUUCAGAUAAUGUGAAAUUUGGCUUAGAAGUGCGCGAAAAUGGAAUACUGACAGUGAGAAAUAGUCGUAUGUAUAACAACGGUCUGGAUGGCUUGGCAAUAGGACCGAGGGUGGGAAAAUGUGACGUAUUUAAUUGUCAAAUUUAUAACAAUGCACGCGAAGGAAUUGCCGCCGUUGACGAUUCCAAGUGCGUUACUCUCGUGAGAAAUUGUGUUUUUGAUAACUACGGGAGUGGUAUAUUUGUGAGAAAUUCGGAAGUUGAUUUGAGAGAGAAUAAGUUUUGCGAUAACGAAGCUUGGGGUAUUUGGUUGGACAGUUAUUAUCGGUGGAAUGUAUCGAUGAAUGAAACUUUUUGUAACAAACUUGGAGGAGUUCGUGUUGGAGGAAAACGGCGCAUCGGAAAAGGAUUACCUCCCUCAGUUGUUGAAUUGAAUACGUCCCAUGAUAAUUUUGGCCCUGGAUAUGUUGACAGCGUUUACUCUAUCGAUGAGUGUAUCCUUUUUCCCAAAACAAGCAGUGAUUGUAAAUCUGCAAAAUACGACCUAAAUGUUGAGUACAAUAACGAAAAGAGGAUUACUGCUAACCAAUCGAGACUGUGCUUAUGUUAUUGUUCUGCGUGCUUUCGAAAGUUUGAAGAUUUGAAACCGUGUGAAAAAUGCUUUACUGCUGGGUAUUGCAACCUAAUUUGCAAAAAUAGGCACCGGUCAAAACACACGAAAUUAUGCAAGGUUCUACGCGACAAGUCCAGCUUUUUACUCCCUUCCAUGACCAAUCACAAUACUGACGACAGCGUGGCUCUGAAGUCUUAUAUUCACGCGAAAGGUGUUGAUGGUGUUGGACCAGAAUACAGUCCUCCUCCACCAAGAGAUGGCAAAAGAUUCAUUGUUAAAGUGCAAACGGAUUUCGAUCGUAGCAUACCUAUGAUUGGGGGAACACCGUACACGCUUAUCAUUUACGACCGAAGUCUUGAUGUUCUCCAAACCAUUCAAGCUGAAUUUAUUCACCGUCUUGUGAAAGAUUUUGGUGUCCUUUGUGAAAGGAAAUUUCAGGAGAAGAAGCUCUUCUUUAACUGCGCAUUUGACAAGACAGGAGAGCUACGAUUGUUCAUCAAUGAUUUCGCUGACUUUGAGAAAUGGUAAACUUCCAUGUACCAUUGAUGAAUCUAAACACUCGAGAAAAAUGAAUGUGAAAGCUCAUCGGAUCAGUCGCUUUCACACUUGUAGUGAUAGUCACCCGAUAUCACUAAGCGGAUAUUAUGCUGUUUUGGCUGAAAGACAUUAAUAACUUUUGGAACUUCUACAAACAUUAUUUUUAGUCAUAUUAUUUUAAACCUUUUAGGAAGUAGACUCGCCUAGAUUUAAUCUUUACGCCGCAAAAACUAUUAACAUAAAAUUUCCUCUUGGCAGCCAACACUUGUACAUAUUUAUAUCUUGUUAUCACUUCUAGCCUAAUUGUAUUAACGCGCCUUAAUUAUCUUGACACUAAUCUUAAUUGCUUUUCCGCCUCGCCUCUUCUAACUCGCCUAUAAAAUAACUUGUAAAUAUUCUUACUAGGACAGUCUUACUUAACUUUGCGCUCUAGCGAGUAAUCGUGCUCAACUCAUUACUAGAUAUUAAAUGACGAC
Paramuricea clavata is the source of this 2418-nucleotide non-coding RNA. NCBI's taxonomy places the organism in Eukaryota, Metazoa, Cnidaria, Anthozoa, Malacalcyonacea, Plexauridae. The record is from the annotation of a GenBank genome assembly.